GCGAGAACUCAUGCUAAAAUAGGGUAAACUUAAAUGGUGAUGCCUGACCAGUUCCUUUUAUCAUACUGAUUCUCUAGAAUAUCAGCCUCCUACAGUUCAUCUCUCAGAGAGAAAAGGUGAUACAAAAAAAUUGGACUCUUAGGCCUUUUAUCCUUUCCUGAAACAGAGCUACAGAUUUUCUCUCAUUGCUGAGUAAAUCUCACAGCAUAGAACAUUACCUUCUUUCAAAAUGUAUGAAAAGCACACUGCAUAAUACACAGCUGUCAUGCUCAUUACCUCCAACAGUUCCUGUGUUAAAAGAACUUCAGUGCUACUAAUAGGGCUAUGAGACCAUUGGGCUUUUUUUCUUUAACAACAGUCUCUAAUGAGACUAUUCACAAAGUAUCCUCCACAAGCUGAAGUUACCCUCAUCCAGUUUUUAAAAUUUUUAAGCAGGUAGGCUUCUAAGUUAACACCACGAAAGCAUCAACAGACAGCAUUUGUCUAUUUAGAAAAAAGCAAAAUUCUAAGUUCUUCUCAAGGGGGGAAAAACAAUGCAACUUCACGUCUGUGUCUGUCUGUCUGUCUAUUUUGCUGGGGAUUGAGCCCAGGGCUACAUGCACAAUAGAAAUAUGUUCUUAUCACUGAGCUACGCCCCAGGUUCCCAUCAUGCCUAUUUUGAUUCAUUUUUCAGGCACAAUUACAAGGGAAAAGACCUUAGCCACUGUAACAUUUGAGUGUGGCAGAGUGGUACAGACGGGGGCGGGGGGGUUGUUUGUGGGUGCUGGAUGCAAGUAUUCUCAUGGGAUUCUUACACGAAAGAAACUGAACAAAUCCCUUUGGCUUUUCCAUACAAAGUCAAGUGAAAGCCUGGUGAUUACCUUGCUAAUAUGAUUGGUGUUGACAGUCAAUCCAGAUAAUAUGUUGCAAAGUGGAAUUUUGGAGCUGGAUUACAUAAAUUAGCUGUCUAGGCUUAUUAAAUGCACUGGAUUAUUGUCAAAACUCUGCUCUAUUCUGUGUUACAAAGAAACAACUGCUUUCUACUACUAGGAAAAAUGGAGAGGUGCUUUCAUGAAAAAACUAGAAAAUAAACUUUUAAAGAUAACUGAAUUUCUAAAACGUUAAUGCCAAAACAAACAUGAAAGGACAUUAAGUUACAUGAAAAGAGACACUAGUAUACAUGUAUCACAUUCAGUAAUAUGAAGGCAAAUCAUAGAUUUUGUGAUGUCUAUUAAGGCCAUGUAGUACUUAAAUUACCUCAGAUCUAACUGGGGCCAGAAAUAUGGACACAUCUAUUCAACUUCAUUUAUCUUAAUGCAGUCGGAAUAACUUGACCAAAUUCCAUCCCACUGACUUUAAAGAGUCAUGCAGAAGAGUUAUGAUAAUUAUCCUGACUAAAAAUGAAAAUUCAAGCCAAUUUAUAAUUGUUUUAAUUUUAUAGUCUUUAAUUUCUUUUAAGUGUCCUAAAGCUCCAAGAGAAAGUUUUUAAAGCUAAGAAUGUUUGCUUUCUAUAAACAUAUCAAGGAUUCUUCCUUCAAUCAGGUCAGAACAAAUGUUUCCUAAUAUUGAUACAAUGAAGGGUGGGAAAGAUAAGGAGAGCCAGGUAGAAAUUAAUGAUCCCCUAACUCUUUUCUUAUUGACUAACCCUACAUAUCCCUGAGUUGCCCUCUGUCAUCAGUACAUGGGUGCUUUGAUAAGUUUCCCUGUUGGCUAGGGGUUCACUCAGUACAGUAAAUAAGGGGAGAUUCUUUUUGCUUGCUUCCUUUCCCUGCUGUAUUUUCCCUUUCCACCUAGACCCUCAUUCACUGCAGUCUGAGUCUAAUCUUGCGGUGGAGACAGGCAUGCCCUUCGAAAUGAGCUGCAGGAAAAGAAGAACUGUUGUCAUAAUACCAUAAGGAUCUGUCUCUACCAAAGCAGACCAUGUGUGGCAUCGCAGAGAAAGAACAAUGUACACUAUCUCAAAAGUAGUGGUUACAAGUACUAGUGAGAGCCCUCUGUGCCCCAAUGUCCUAAGGGGAAUAGGACAGAAAAGCAAUAUCUUUAAUGGUCUGAGGAAGAAAAUGAGCAGGAAAUGAAAGAAAGGUGACAGGGAACCAAGGAAAUGAGUUAUUUAAAAAUAUUGUGCAGAUGCACAAUACUGCCCCCAGCAACUCUGUAGAUCAUUUCCAAGAAUCUAGACUAGUCGAGACAUUUUAAAAACAUGCUAGGAAAAGCACACAAAAGGCUUCUACAUUGUCCCUGAAGAAGCUAUACAUAUAAAAAUGCAAUGAAAUAUAUUGAAUUUUAUGGGAAAAGAUGGGUAAUGUAAAGCCAAUUUUUCAAAAAUAUCAGGGGGGGGCAGCUUUCCAGCAUAUACUGCUUAAAUUACAUUUUUUAAGUAUGGUGUCAAAAUAUAUUUUCUUUGCUGAUUCCUCUGAGAAUAUCAGUUUCAGUAGGCAAUUAGCUUUCUUCCAGUGGCAUGAAGGCUUCUUCAGGAUCAAGGGGCUAAUGCAGAUACUGAUUUUGACAGGCAGAAUGGCAGCCCAUGGAGUCAGAUAACCAUCUUUUAUCAACUGUGGAAAGCAAGUCUCAUUGAAAUUGCACCCUCCCACAUUGACUCUUUUAGGGAAGAAGGUCAGGAGCACAGCCAGAUAUUCAAAAAGGCUGUUGGUUCUGCGAAGCAUAUGUAUUCCAUCAAAGAUUAAUAGGAUCUGGUCUUAUGUCAUUAAUUUCUAUUCUUUCCUCAGCCCAUUACAGCCCUUAUAUGAUGCCUUAGUUCUAAAUUAAUGAGUUUCUCUAGCAGUUACAUGAAAAGGGCAUCACACAUAAAGAUAUUUGGAUUGUACAUAAAGAUAUGUAGAUCUACAUUAACAUAAAGAUAUUUUUUCCUAUAACAGGGAUGGCUACUGAAUCCAUUUCAGCUUACCUGGAAUAAUUGUAUCUAGCCCCUUUAUUCUGUUCUUUGAGAAACUAUGAUCAGUGGGAUAACUGACUUGAGAAUUUUCAGAGUAAUGGAAGUGUCACUCCAAGAUAAUAGCGCUGGGAGGAGCAGGACCGGCAACACCACAACUGAAAUCCGUCAUCCUGCGUGCUCGCUGCGAGCCAAUUAGACAGUGGCAGUGCUAUCUCUCACCAGGCAGCGCCCCCAGCCCGUGCUGAUUGCAUUCUUAUUCAGUCACUUCAUACGUGACUGCUUUUGGAAAACAGCUUGCUGUUCCUGAAGGCACCAGCAGACAGAGGGGAAGAACACAACAACCAAGGAAGGAGACAGAUGACAAGUCACCACAACUUACUGAAGGAAUUCUAUUUUAGGAAAAGAGAGAGGAAGCAGGCCAAGAGAAAGGCAAUAGGAUAACAUGACACUCAGCACCCUUAUAUGCUCAGCAGCUUCGAGUCCUUGAGGUCUGCCUUUCUAGGAAGCUGUUUGAUGAAACACAUAAAAGUGAAAUGCUACCUCUGUGCAUUUUCUCUGUGGAGACAAUUCAUGGGCGUACACAAAUCACAGCCAAGCUUCAUCCAUAACUCAUCACCAGGCAGGACUACACUCACUACAACUUCAAUGUGCUUCAAGAUGCUGUGCUCCGGGAAAGUGUAUAAAGUCACUCUAAAACAAAAUCAAAGUGUGGAGUACAAUCCUGUGAGAAAGUGAUUAUAUGUAAUUUGAGGGUGGAGUAGAAGAUUAUAGGUAGAAAAGCUUGCUGUGAAGCAUCUUUGUCAUCACUAAAGGACAGGAAUGAGAUUUUUAACAAUGAGAUAUCAUCUCGCCCCAGUUAGAAUGUUUACUAUCAAAAAUACUAAAAUGACAAAUGCUAGCGAGGAUGUGGAGAAAUGUUGGGAAUGUAAAGUAAUGCAGCCAUAUGGAAAACAGUUAUGGAGCUACUCUAAAAAAUGGAAAUAGAGCUACCAUGUGAUCCAAAAAAUCCCAUUCCUGGGUAAGGAGGAAAGAAAGGAAAGGAAAGGAAAGCUUUAUGUCAAAGAGGACUCUAUACUCUCAUGUUUAUUGCAGCACUUUGCACAACAGCCAAGAUAUGGAAUCAACUUGGGUGUUCACUGAUGAAUGAAUAAAGAAAAUGUAGUAUACAUACACAAUGUAGUAUUACUCAGCCGUAAAAAUGAAAUGCUGCCAUUUGUAGCAACUAGAUGGAACUGCAGGCCAUUAUGUUAAGUGAAAUAAGUCUGGCACUGAAAGAUAAAUACAGCAUGCUCUCGCUUAUAUGUAGAAGGUAAAGAGUUGAUCUCACAGCAGAAGUAGAGAGUAGAAUGGUGGUUGGGAACUUGGGAAAGGUGUGUGUGUGUGUGUGGGGAGGAUAGAGAGAGCAUGGUUAACAGAUACAGGUGUGCAGGAAUAUACUGAAUAGGAGGAACUAUUUCUAAUGUUCUAUAGCAUAGUAGGUUGGUUUUAAUCAGCAACAAUUGACUGAAUACUUCAAAAUACCUAGCACAGAGGAUUUUGAAUGUUCCCAAGACAAAAAAAUUAUGUCUGAGGCCAGACAAUUAAUUACUUUAUCAUUAGACAUUAUAUACUUGUAUUGAUACAUCAUAAAUAGAUAUACAAUUACUAUAUGUCAA
Non-coding RNA from Heterocephalus glaber (naked mole-rat), 4527 nucleotides. The record is from RefSeq and is a predicted model, not a curated record. Lineage: Eukaryota; Metazoa; Chordata; Mammalia; Rodentia; Bathyergidae.